RNAcentral lists this ribosomal RNA (277 nucleotides) under uncultured bacterium. RNAcentral describes it as "partial 16S ribosomal RNA". It matches the Rfam family "Bacterial small subunit ribosomal RNA", at positions 355 to 625 of the family's 1533-position model. The record is from RNAcentral.
UGGGGAAUAUUGCACAAUGGGCGCAAGCCUGAUGCAGCCAUGCCGCGUGUGUGAAGAAGGCCUUCGGGUUGUAAAGCACUUUCAGCGAGGAGGAAGGGUUCAGUGUUAAUAGCACUGUUCAUUGACGUUACUCGCAGAAGAAGCACCGGCUAACUCCGUGCCAGCAGCCGCGGUAAUACGGAGGGUGCAAGCGUUAAUCGGAAUUACUGGGCGUAAAGCGCACGCAGGCGGUUUGUUAAGUCAGAUGUGAAAUCCCCGCGCUUAACGUGGAACUGCA